ACCCGCUGAAUUUAAGCAUAUCAAUAAGCGGAGGAAAAGAAACCAACAGGGAUUGCCUUAGUAACGGCGAGUGAAGCGGCAAAAGCUCAAAUUUGAAAUCUGGCACCUUCGGUGUCCGAGUUGUAAUUUGAAGAAGGUAACUUUGGAGUUGGCUCUUGUCUAUGUUCCUUGGAACAGGACGUCACAGAGGGUGAGAAUCCCGUGCGAUGAGAUGCCCAAUUCUAUGUAAAGUGCUUUCGAAAAGUCGAGUUGUUUGGGAAUGCAGCUCUAAGUGGGUGGUAAAUUCCAUCUAAAGCUAAAUAUUGGCGAGAGACCGAUAGCGAACAAGUACAGUGAUGGAAAGAUGAAAAGAACUUUGAAAAGAGAGUGAAAAAGUACGUGAAAUUGUUGAAAGGGAAGGGCUUGAGAUCAGACUUGGUAUUUUGCGAUCCUUUCCUUCUUGGUUGGGUUCCUCGCAGCUUACUGGGCCAGCAUCGGUUUGGAUGGUAGGAUAAUGACUAAGGAAUGUGGCUCUACUUCGGUGGAGUGUUAUAGCCUUGGUUGAUACUGCCUGUCUAGACCGAGGACUGCGUCUUUUGACUAGGAUGUUGGCAUAAUGAUCUUAAGCCACCCGUCUUGAAACACGGACCAAGGAG
Molecule: ribosomal RNA, 635 nt
Filed under: uncultured yeast
Lineage: Eukaryota; Fungi
Description: eukaryotic LSU rRNA
Rfam family: Eukaryotic large subunit ribosomal RNA
Source: RNAcentral